UCAGAAAACAUAUAUAUUGCAUCUCUUACAAGUUAUCAAACUAUAAAGUAAGGCCUUGGCAAAAGCAGAAUUGAGGAAAAAGCAAAAUGACCUGAUCUGGAGUGCACGCUCGCCCAGGAUUUUUGCACGUUCAAACUUUGUCAUAAACUUUGAUGUCUUACGAGGUUGUUCCACAGGCUUUUGCUUCUCUGUUUUCUCCUCACCUUCACGAUCUGGUAUGUCCUCAUUGUUGCCAUUAUCUUCUUCAAUCUCUGCUCCUUCAUCAGGUUCAGGAUCCAUUGGCUCGUCCACGUAUCCUCCGUCCAUAUCAUAAUCAUCGUCCGCCAUUGUUGCGUCGGCGUCAAAGCUUUCUUUUCAAUUUGUGUAAUACGGAGAGAACGCAGCUUUGAAACCAA
RNAcentral lists this unclassified non-coding RNA (395 nucleotides) under Hevea brasiliensis (rubber tree). The record is from RNAcentral. Lineage: Eukaryota; Viridiplantae; Streptophyta; Magnoliopsida; Malpighiales; Euphorbiaceae.